Molecule: unclassified non-coding RNA, 576 nt
Filed under: Hevea brasiliensis (rubber tree)
Lineage: Eukaryota; Viridiplantae; Streptophyta; Magnoliopsida; Malpighiales; Euphorbiaceae
Source: RNAcentral
AAAAGAAAUCAAUUGAAUUGAAUAUUUGUAAAAUUUUAGUUUCCAAACAAGGAGAUUAGCUUUGAAUGUCACCUUCAACAAUUUAUCAAUUUAAAUUCCCUUAAUAUCAAUCACCUUCAACAACCUGUAACUUAGAUGUGUGUUUACAAAUAACAUGAGUUCAAGUCAACAUCUAUGCUUACUGAUAUAACUUGUUUAGUCAUCUACACCAAGCAAUGUGGAUUCCAUUUUGCACUCACAGAUAUUCUCUGAAAAAGAGGUUGACAGUAAAGAAAAAACUUAUAUAAAUCCAGCCAGGUCAAUCAAACCAAAUUGAUAGACAAAAGAAUGGAUAUUUUUUUACCAUUUGUAAAAGGCACUAUAUUUAAAUAAUAAUAUCCUAAAUGUGGUCAAACAAUCAAAAUGACGGAGAAACAUUUCAGAAAUUCCAUAGUUCUUGAAUGCCAGACAAAAAACGUUACAGAAUUCAACAAUUAUAUGUUGGGGAGAUAUUGCAUGAUUAUUGUUAACAUGAACCAAAACCAACUUAAUCCCCAUUAGCAAAGUAAGGGUCGAAAACAUAAAUCAACAGAAAAG